This is a long non-coding RNA of Gallus gallus (chicken), 1578 nucleotides long. Lineage: Eukaryota; Metazoa; Chordata; Aves; Galliformes; Phasianidae. The record is from Ensembl.
GAGAGAAAAUGCGUGAUUUUGGGGUGAAAGGUGGUAUAUUUGGGGGAGAAAUGUGUUAUUUCCCGGCAAAAAGUGUAUUUUUGGGUAGAUAAUGCGUGAUGUUUGGACAGAGGUGCUAUUGUUCGAGGGGGAAACUGCGUGAUUUUCGGGUGAAAACUUGUAUUUUCGGAGUGACAAUGCAUGGUUUUUGUUAGAAAAGUCAUAUUUUCCUAAAGAAAAUGCGUGAUUUUUGUGUGCACGGUGGUAUUUUCGGGAAGAAAAUGCAUGAUUUUCGGGGGAAACGUGGUAUAUUUGGGGUAGAAAUGUGUUAUCACCCAGCGACAAGUGGUGUUUUCGGGAAGGAAUGCAGGAUUUUUGGGAGACAGGUGGUAUUUUUGGAUGAAAAUGCAGGAUUUUCGAGAGAAAAGUGGUAUUUCUCGAGAGAAAAUGCGUGAUUUUGGGGUGAAAGGUGGUAUAUUUGGGGGAGAAAUGUGUUAUUUCCCGGCAAAAAGUGGUAAUUUCGGGAAGGAAGUGCAGAAUUUUUGGGCGACAGGUGGUAUUUUCGGGGUGAAAAUGUGUGAUUUUCGAAAAAAAAGUGGUAUUUCUCGAGAGAAAAUGCGUGAUUUUGGGGUGAAAGGUGGUAUAUUUGGGGUAGAUGUGUUUUUCUCCAGCAAAAAGUGGUAUUUUCGGGUAGAAAAUGUGUGAUGUUUGGACAGAGGUGCUAUUGUUCGAGGGGGAAACUGCGUGAUUUUCGGGUGAAAACUUGUAUUUUCGGAGUGACAAUGCAUGGUUUUUGUUAGAAAAGUCAUAUUUUCCUAAAGAAAAUGCGUGAUUUUUGUGUGCACGGUGGUAUUUUCGGGAAGAAAAUGCAUGAUUUUCGGGGGAAACGUGGUAUAUUUGGGGUAGAAAUGUGUUAUCACCCAGCGACAAGUGGUGUUUUCGGGAAGGAAUGCAGGAUUUUUGGGAGACAGGUGGUAUUUUUGGAUGAAAAUGCAGGAUUUUCGAGAGAAAAGUGGUAUUUCUCGAGAGAAAAUGCGUGAUUUUGGGGUGAAAGGUGGUAUAUUUGGGGGAGAAAUGUGUUAUUUCCCGGCAAAAAGUGGUAAUUUCGGGAAGGAAGUGCAGAAUUUUUGGGCGACAGGUGGUAUUUUCGGGGUGAAAAUGUGUGAUUUUCGAAAAAAAAGUGGUAUUUCUCGAGAGAAAAUGCGUGAUUUUGGGGUGAAAGGUGGUAUAUUUGGGGGAGAAAUGUGUUAUUUCCCAGCGAAAAGUGGUAUUUUCAAGAAGGAAGUGCAGAAUUUUUGGGAGACAGGUGGUAUUUUCGGGGUGAAAAUGCAUGAUUUUCGAGAGAAAAGUGGUAUUUCUCGAGAGAAAAUGCGUGAUUUUGGGGUGAAAGGUGGUAUAUUUGGGGUAGAUAUGUGUUUUUCUCCAGCAAAAAGUGGUAUUUUCGGGUAGAAAAUGUGUGAUGUUUGGACAGAGGUGCUAUUUUUCGAGGGGGAAAGGCGUGAUUUUCAAGCAAAAACUUGUAGUUUCGGAGUGACAAUGCAUGGUUUUCGUUAGCAAAGUCGUAUUUUCCUAAAGAAAAUGCGUGAUUUUUGGGAGAAG